GACGAACGCUGGCGGCGUGCCUAAUACAUGCAAGUAGAACGCUGAAGGAGGAGCUUGCUUCUCUGGAUGAGUUGCGAACGGGUGAGUAACGCGUAGGUAACCUGCCUGGUAGCGGGGGAUAACUAUUGGAAACGAUAGCUAAUACCGCAUAAGAGUAGAUGUUGCAUGACAUUUGCUUAAAAGGUGCAAUUGCAUCACUACCAGAUGGACCUGCGUUGUAUUAGCUAGUUGUUGGGGUAACGGCUCACCAAGGCGACGAUACAUAGCCGACCUGAGAGGGUGAUCGGCCACACUGGGACUGAGACACGGCCCAGACUCCUACGGGAGGCAGCAGUAGGGAAUCGUCGGCAAUGGACGGAAGUCUGACCGAGCAACGCCGCGUGAGUGAAGAAGGUUUUCGGAUCGUAAAGCUCUGUUGUAAGAGAAGAACGAGUGUGAGAGUGGAAAGUUCACACUGUGACGGUAUCUUACCAGAAAGCGACGGCUAACUACGUG
Molecule: ribosomal RNA, 495 nt
Filed under: uncultured bacterium
Lineage: Bacteria
Description: partial 16S ribosomal RNA
Rfam family: Bacterial small subunit ribosomal RNA
Source: RNAcentral